RNAcentral lists this transfer RNA (64 nucleotides) under Dermestes ater. RNAcentral's name for it is "tRNA-Cys". The record is from RNAcentral. Lineage: Eukaryota; Metazoa; Arthropoda; Insecta; Coleoptera; Dermestidae.
GGUCUUAUAUUCAAUAAUGAUAUUAAAUUGCAAAUUUAAAGGAAAGAUUUAUUCUUUAAGGCUU